RNAcentral lists this long non-coding RNA (286 nucleotides) under Solanum lycopersicum (tomato). RNAcentral's name for it is "long non-coding RNA (SLYC_LNC000927)". The record is from RNAcentral. Lineage: Eukaryota; Viridiplantae; Streptophyta; Magnoliopsida; Solanales; Solanaceae.
GGAAAUUUUCUACCAGUCACUAUCUUAGAAACUUUCCUACCAUUUUCAGGACAAAGAGUCGUCGUCUUGUCAAAAUUUCCAUUUUUAAGCAUUAUCAUCCAAUAAUACCAUGGGUCACCAGAAUCAUUCACUUCACAAAGUGAACCAAAUACCAUGGGUCACCAGAAUCAUUCACUUCACAAAGUGAACCAAGGUACCGCUCCUUUUCCACAGCAUAAAGAUCAGGAUUCAUGUCAGCUUUAUAACUCCCAUCUGGAAUUUUAUCUCCAACUCCUAAUCUAUUGUC